This 1542-nucleotide long non-coding RNA is filed under the name Marmota monax (woodchuck). The record is from RNAcentral. Lineage: Eukaryota; Metazoa; Chordata; Mammalia; Rodentia; Sciuridae.
CUCGUCUUGGCCUGGCGCCCUUCGAGGACCGAGUGGCAGGUGCCCUUCUCAAAAGCCACCUAAGGUCCAGGUCAGCGCAGGGGCUGGGGCUGCUCUGUCUCCAAACUAACCUGAGACAUAAAUCCCCAGAACCCCGCUGCCCAACCUCAGGGUGCUUCCUCUCCUCCUCCCCAGGCUUCGAGACUGCCUGCCAUGACGGCCACCUCCUCCACUCCCGGCCCACUCAGGGUCACCCUCCUCCCGGCCUUAUCCCCUGCUGACCCUUUUCUCUUCCUCUAGGGCACUUGCUUCCAAAUGAGGACCCAGAGGCUGAGAAACGACAGGAGUAUUUUCUGGGUCCAUCUUGGGCUACCUGAGGCCAGGGGCGUGCUCCUCCUUCUAGGGCUUGAUCUUCACUUCUAGCCGGGACACGGCUUGUCCCUUGAGACCGAGGGCAGCCUUCCCUUCAGGUCCCGGGGAAAGGAGGUGAGCAAGCUAUAGGAGGGCCAUCGGGCAAAUGGCAGUGACAGACAUCAUUUGGGUCCCCAGAGGGUGGAGCCUGGAUGCCGUUUGGUGUGGGAUGAGGUUUUCAGGACCCCUGAACCCGACCGUGGUGGAAGGCUGCGUGCCGCCCUGAUCAACAGUGAUUUCCAGUGUGACGGUGAAAGCCGGUGGGGACCCCCGUCCUAGGGGCCAUGAGGUCAUCGUGCCUGCGCUGUGUGCUUUGUUUGUACAGUGACACCAUUUUCCAGGCCAGAGUAGUCUGUACUCUGACGUGCCGAGGACUCGCGGUUUGGUUUUGUGUCGGGAGGCAGCAGGUGUACGGACCACCUGUGACAAGAGCUCAAGUGGCAGGAUGGAGGUUGGAGUGACAUGUGACGUCAACACAGGGAGGAGCAGCCUGGGGACUGGAAGUGCAGCCUGCAUUGUGGACAGUCUACACUGGGUCAUCUAGAGAUUCUUCACUCACCUCAGGCUCGAAGUGCACUCAGCGAGGGCUCCUGUGCCCGGCACUGGGUACACCACCCCCUCUCUCCCUCCUACUGGCCGGGUGCUGAGGACGGGACCAGGUGGGCUCCUGGGCUGUGGUCAUGUGCAUUGAUUUUGGCCCAGUCGGCCACCGUCCCUGUGCAGUCCGGUGGAGCCUGGAUGACCUCUGACCUAGCCCUUCAUUCUGGAGAAAGGUGAGACGUCUCUCACCCUGCAGACAUCAGAGACAGGAGAUUCCUGUCUUGCGGCCUCUGGGACCUCCGCAGAGAGUGGCCUGGUUGGUUCCCUCCAGUUUCAUGCUUUCAGUCUAAGCCAUUUUCUGCAUCUGCCCUGAGUAAAGCCAUGGCUUGAGCAUUGUUUUCACAACCAGGUUCUGGAACCCCAGGAUCCCAAGAGGGACGUCAACUGCUGCCCUGAGGCUGGGUUCUCUGGGGUGGGGGGGCAGGAUUCCCUUUCCUGCUAAUGCCAGAGCCUCUCAGCUACCGUCAGUUUCAUGUGCUUUGAGCUUUGUUUAAUAUUUUGUUGGAAAAGGGUUCUGCAAUAAAAGAAAACUAGAAUAGUGAUAAAGGUCAG